Molecule: ribosomal RNA, 490 nt
Filed under: uncultured bacterium
Lineage: Bacteria
Description: partial 16S ribosomal RNA
Rfam family: Bacterial small subunit ribosomal RNA
Source: RNAcentral
AUUGAACGCUGGCGGCAGGCCUAACACAUGCAAGUCGAACGGUAACAGGGAUCAGCUUGCUGAUUCGCUGACGAGUGGCGGACGGGUGAGUAAUGUCUGGGAAACUGCCUGAUGGAGGGGGAUAACUACUGGAAACGGUAGCUAAUACCGCAUAACGUCGCAAGACCAAAGAGGGGGACCUUCGGGCCUCUUGCCAUCGGAUGUGCCCAGAUGGGAUUAGCUAGUAGGUGGGGUAACGGCUCACCUAGGCGACGAUCCCUAGCUGGUCUGAGAGGAUGACCAGCUACACUGGAACUGAGACACGGUCCAGACUCCUACGGGAGGCAGCAGUGGGGAAUAUUGCACAAUGGGCGCAAGCCUGAUGCAGCCAUGCCGCGUGUAUGAAGAAGGCCUUCGGGUUGUAAAGUACUUUCAGCGGGGAGGAAGGGAGUAAAGUUAAUACCUUUGCUCAUUGACGUUACCCGCAGAAGAAGCACCGGCUAACUCCGUG